AUCAUGUCCUUGAGGUCCUGCUGUUUAUUGGACAAAUUGCAGUAACCGCAGCUCCUCGUGUAUGGCAGAGCCGUGCAAAGCCGGGACUGCCUGUGUGGCUCCUUGAGUGCGUGGAGGCCAAAGCUGAGAUGACUUGCCUGGGAUGCCACACGUGUUGGGCAGCAGACCGAGCCUCCCACCCCUCCCUCUUGCCCCCAAGGUACCACGGCCCACGUGGGCAUCAUGCUGUAUGGGGUGGACAGCCGGAGUGGCCACCGGCACCUGGACGGCGACAGAGCCUUCCACCGCAACAGCCUGGACAUCUUCCGGAUCGCCACCCCGCAUAGCCUGGGUAGCGUGUGGAAGAUCCGAGUGUGGCACGACAACAAAGGGCUCAGCCCUGCCUGGUUCCUGCAGCACAUCAUCGUCAGGGACCUGCAGACGGCACGCAGCGCCUUCUUCCUGGUCAAUGACUGGCUUUCGGUGGAGACGGAGGCCAACGGGGGCCUGGUGGAGAAGGAGGUGCUGGCCGCGAGCGACGCAGCCCUGUUGCGCUUCCGGCGCCUGCUGGUGGCUGAGCUGCA
RNAcentral lists this small RNA (563 nucleotides) under Pan troglodytes (chimpanzee). RNAcentral's name for it is "retained intron". The record is from RNAcentral. Lineage: Eukaryota; Metazoa; Chordata; Mammalia; Primates; Hominidae.